Pieris napi is the source of this 486-nucleotide long non-coding RNA. RefSeq lists it as uncharacterized. The record is from RefSeq and is a predicted model, not a curated record. The transcript is spliced from 2 exons. NCBI's taxonomy places the organism in Eukaryota, Metazoa, Arthropoda, Insecta, Lepidoptera, Pieridae.
UACUGGAACGUAUCCAUGCUGAUCACGUCUAUAACUGGGCACACUACCCGCGUUGGAUCCUGGAAAUGUUGAAAUAUGGAAUUAUUAUCAUGCAUUUAUUGGAAUUAUACUUGGCACACCUCGGUUGCUAGGCAACGCAUCGGAAGCCACCUGAUUGAAUCUGUUCCUGACGUAGGGGUCAUUGUCCUUUGCGCCCCCAGCGACAUAGCCUGCCUCAUCGAAGUACUUUCCAGUACUGCCUGUGCCAUACUCUUCGAGUGAUAUCGGACUGCUCUCAGGUUCUUCUGUGUCUGCGUGCUGCUUUAUUAAUCUAAGUGCUAUGUUUUCUUCCUGUGAACAAGGGAACGGUGUUAUAAAAAAUCUAUGUAUUUUCGUCUGCACAAGGAUUAUAAAUAGGCAUAAAAAACUAUGCCAUUCAACUACUAUCUACCAAAAUAUGUUAAUUAUUUUAAUUCGUAAUUAAAUAAAUUAUGCUUUAUCGAAGAA